Molecule: ribosomal RNA, 619 nt
Filed under: uncultured bacterium
Lineage: Bacteria
Description: bacterial SSU rRNA
Rfam family: Bacterial small subunit ribosomal RNA (bases 1-522)
Source: RNAcentral
CCUACGGGAGGCAGCAGUGGGGAAUAUUGCACAAUGGGCGAAAGCCUGAUGCAGCGACGCCGCGUGAGGGAUGACGGCCUUCGGGUUGUAACCCUCUUUCAGUAGGGACGAAGCGCAAGUGACGGUACCUACAGAAGAAGCACCGGCUAACUACGUGCCAGCAGCCGCGGUAAUACGUAGGGUGCGAGCGUUGUCCGGAAUUAUUGGGCGUAAAGAGCUCGUAGGCGGUUUGUUGCGUCGGCUGUGAAAAACCCUACAGCUUAACUGUGGGCCUGCAGUCGAUACGGGCAGACUUGAGUUCGGCAGGGGUAGACUGGAAUUCCUGGUGUAGCGGUGAAAUGCGCAGAUAUCAGGAGGAACACCGGUGGCGAAGGCGGGUCUCUGGGCCGAUACUGACGCUGAGGAGCGAAAGCGUGGGGUAGCGAACAGGAUUAGAUACCCUGGUAGUCCACGCCGUAAACGGUGGUGCUAGGUGUGGGGACUUCGACGUCCUCCGUGCCGCNGCACGCAUAGACACCCGCCGUCGGGAGGUACGGCCGCCGACGGACGUAAACCGUACGAACGUAAGUAGUUAGUUACGGCGUGAGACGUGCCGACGGCGACGACGAGGGAGGUUAGG